UACGGGGGGAGCAAGCGUUGUUCGGAUUUACUGGGCGUAGAGGGCGCGUAGGCGGUCAGCACAAGUCAGUUGUGAAAUCUCCGGGCUUAACCCGGAAAGGUCAACUGAUACUGUGCGACUAGAGUGCGGAAGGGGCAACUGGAAUUCUCGGUGUAGCGGUGAAAUGCGUAGAUAUCGAGAGGAACACCUGCGGCGAAGGCGGGUUGCUGGGCCGACACUGACGCUGAUGCGCGAAAGCCAGGGGAGCGAACGGG
RNAcentral lists this ribosomal RNA (254 nucleotides) under uncultured bacterium. RNAcentral describes it as "partial 16S ribosomal RNA". It matches the Rfam family "Bacterial small subunit ribosomal RNA", at positions 524 to 776 of the family's 1533-position model. The record is from RNAcentral.